RNAcentral lists this non-coding RNA (28 nucleotides) under Mus musculus (house mouse). The record is from RNAcentral. Lineage: Eukaryota; Metazoa; Chordata; Mammalia; Rodentia; Muridae.
UGAUCCUCGCAUCUCAUUGGUCCAAAGU